Molecule: ribosomal RNA, 253 nt
Filed under: uncultured bacterium
Lineage: Bacteria
Description: partial 16S ribosomal RNA
Rfam family: Bacterial small subunit ribosomal RNA
Source: RNAcentral
UACAGAGGCCUCGAGCGUUAGGCGGAAUCACUGGGCUUAAAGCGUGUGUAGGCGGAUGCCUAAGUACCUUGUGAAAUCCCACGGCUCACCCGUGGAACGGCUGGGUAUACUGGGUGUCUUGAGCCACUUAGGGGCUGCCGGAACAAAUGGUGGAGCGGUGAAAUGCGUAGAUAUUGGGAAGAACACCGGUGGCGAAGGCGGCUCACUGGCUCGUAACUGACGCUCAUGCACGACAGCGUGGGGAUCAAACAGG